GGUCACAUGGUGUAAUGGUUAGCACUCUGGACUCUGAAUCCAACGACCCAGGUUCAAAUCUCGGUGGGACCU
Molecule: transfer RNA, 72 nt
Filed under: Nematostella vectensis (starlet sea anemone)
Lineage: Eukaryota; Metazoa; Cnidaria; Anthozoa; Actiniaria; Edwardsiidae
Rfam family: tRNA
About the family: Transfer RNA (tRNA) molecules are approximately 80 nucleotides in length. Their secondary structure includes four short double-helical elements and three loops (D, anti-codon, and T loops).
Source: Rfam by way of RNAcentral